Long non-coding RNA from Ostrinia nubilalis (European corn borer), 450 nucleotides. RefSeq lists it as uncharacterized. The transcript is spliced from 2 exons. The record is from RefSeq and is a predicted model, not a curated record. NCBI's taxonomy places the organism in Eukaryota, Metazoa, Arthropoda, Insecta, Lepidoptera, Crambidae.
CUCUCAGGUUAUUAUCGAAUAAGCAUACGUGAAGUACAGUUUACUCGUAGUUUAAAAAAUGAAGCUGUUUUGCAUUUCUCUGUUAGUUUUAGUGGCGUUGGUGGAAUGUAAGCAUACGUUUAUGGGCACCAAUGUCCUAAGACCACAGUUGUACCACGCUAUUAUUACUCAUCAUGCGUUGGUCUUCAGGAAGCGUGUGGAGAAUCUCAGUUACACCAUACCCAACUUGGCUGGAAAUGCUGGAAGGACUAUACAGGGAAUAUUGGCAUGGGACUUGACCAACACUGACGCAUCCGCCAACGUGACCCAGGGCGGGAUUGGGUACAACUACGUCAACCUUCGCAUGAAGAGCUCACGAGGGGAGGAUCUGAAAUUUGAAGUUUUCAUAUACGCUUAAAAUGUAACCCUAUCCAUGAGCAAAAGAUGAAAAUAAAGAUUUAAUGCUGUUUA